CCUACGGGAGGCAGCAGUGAGGAAUAUUGGUCAAUGGCCGUAAGGCUGAACCAGCCAAGUCGCGUGAAGGAAGAAGGAUCUAUGGUUUGUAAACUUCUUUUAUAGGGGAAUAAAGGUAUCCACGUGUGGAUAUUUGCAUGUACCCUAUGAAUAAGCAUCGGCUAACUCCGUGCCAGCAGCCGCGGUAAUACGGAGGAUGCGAGCGUUAUCCGGAUUUAUUGGGUGUAAAGGGUGCGUAGGUUGUUUUUUAAGUCAGCGGUGAAAGUUUGUGGCUCAACCAUAAAAUUGCCGUUGAAACUGGAAGACGUGAGUGUGUUUGAGGUAGGCGGAAUGCGUGGUGUAGCGGUGAAAUGCAUAGAUAUCACGCAGAACUCCGAUUGCGAAGGCAGCUUACUAAGCCAUAACUGACACUGAAGCACGAAAGCGUGGGGAUCAAACAGGAUUAGAUACCCCGGUAGUC
This 460-nucleotide ribosomal RNA is filed under the name uncultured bacterium. Its description in RNAcentral is "partial 16S ribosomal RNA". It matches the Rfam family "Bacterial small subunit ribosomal RNA", at positions 338 to 795 of the family's 1533-position model. The record is from RNAcentral.